Non-coding RNA from Camelina sativa (false flax), 1021 nucleotides. Lineage: Eukaryota; Viridiplantae; Streptophyta; Magnoliopsida; Brassicales; Brassicaceae. The record is from RefSeq and is a predicted model, not a curated record.
GAGUAAUGGAAGGAUCCGUAAUUGAGAAAUGAAACCCAUUUCCAAAUAAUUAAAACCCUAAAAGUUGUUUGCGACUCAAUUCUACGGAUCAAGCCGAGGAGGCGGCAGUGAAGAAUCUCUUUAUCGUUUUUUCAUUGGAAUAAGAUCAAAUCUCGAGUGAUGAAACUAAUCUCAAUCCUAGAGGUUUGCUUUGCUUCUCAACUGCCGUUGUUUGAUCCGGUGGCUGUUGGCUUGGAUAGAGGAACAAACACUUGACUAGCUUGAUUUCUUUGUUGGGUCUCCCCGAUAUGAUAUGGUUUUGAAGGAUGGACUAGUUUCACAACCAAAUUUGUCAUCUUAAUCUCAUUUGCGAGUUUCAAGCCAACCACAUGAGAUUAUUUGCACAUUGCCAAACAGUACGGGGCUGAAUGCUUCUACUGCUGCUGCCAAUCUAUCUAAAGAGAAGGACCAGAUGUUUGCCUCCAGUAGAUUUUCUGAAGACAAUGUAGACAAUGAAGCUCUUUGCAUUGCUGCAAACACUGAACGUGAUGGAAGUGGUUAUGUGAUACAAAAUCAUGGAAACAAAAAGAGUCAAAACCUAUAAAAAAACAUAUCUAUAUUAGCCUGUAAUGUCUCAGUUAAUGCGAAGCUGCUUGCGAUGUAAGUUUAUCUUUCUUCUCACUUUUGGGACCAACAGAUAAAAGUGACAUUAUUUUUUAGUCAUGAUUUUUCUUUAUGCUGAGGAACCCUUGAAGGAGAUGAUGUUAUGUUACUUGACAUACCUCAACAAGUCAGAGAGGCAGAUAAGGAUAAGAAGACGAAGGGAUAGAAGAAUCAGUAAGAGACAUGUCGAAUGGAUGAUAUUAAGAAGAAAUAGAGAAGGAAGGAAGAGAUAAUAUGUCGGUUUUAGUUUUUUUUUUUUUUUGGGUAAAUAACCUUUUAUCGUAUGUACUUUUUUUUUGAGUCUAAGCAUUGUCAUUUUUCCUUUUUUUAAGUAACCAACAAUUUGGUUUCUCCAUUAUAAUAUUCAUUUGGUAAUAUA